Molecule: long non-coding RNA, 3552 nt
Organism: Peromyscus californicus insignis
Lineage: Eukaryota; Metazoa; Chordata; Mammalia; Rodentia; Cricetidae
Exons: 2
Source: RefSeq, a predicted model, not a curated record
UACAUAAGGAAUCUAAUAUUUGCUCCCUGUGGGGGGAUUAUGUGGAGAAGGCUCAGGAUCUUUAAACAUGAGUUAUGAUUAACUUACAUGCUCAACUUUUUCCUUCAUCUCUCUUCAAAGAUACAUUGAGCGGAACUGCAAUCAAGGCCAGGCAGACCUAGGAGAUGGAAAUAAGACUCUUGUUAUCCGGAGCCAGAAUAGCUGGGCGCCGGUGACUAAAGAGGUCAUUGAUUAAUUGGCUAACUUAUUCCCAGCUUUGUUCUAGAAAACAAGGGCUUUGCUGAGUGUUUGAUGAUGGCUUGAAAAAGGAAAAAAAGAAAAGGAAUAAGAAACAUGGGCCUCGGGAUCCUUGCAGUGUUUGUUACCAGGCUCUGUGAUCUUUUUCUUUCCGACUGUCUGAUGUUUCCAUUGCUGUAUUUCCAGUGUAACCAGGACAUUUUGCCACACACCUCCACACUAAACACCUGCAUAAACUGCUUCCUCUGCUCUCUAGGCUGCCACACAUGUGACUAUCCAUUUGACUAUCCCAAAGACAUGGCCUUUACCAUGCCACUUGCCUGCCCAAGAACCUACAUGCCCUAGUGAGACUGAGUUGCUCAGUCUCUGAGACUGGUUCCUAAUUUAUCUAGCCAGCUUUAUUUCCCUCCAUGCCCCACUGUGAGCUCUUCUGAGGAAAAUCUGCCUCCUUCCUGUCUCCCCAGUGUAGCUAGAGUUUUCCUGCCUGACCCACAGUCAGGACAAAUCUCUCUCACCCGCCAGUCCCACAGCUGCUCAGACCCAACCAAGUAAACACAGAGACUUAUAUUGGUUACAAACUGUAUGGCCGUGGCAGGCUAACUUGCUAACUGUUCUUACAGCUUAAAUUAAUCCGUUUCUAUAAAUCUAUACCUUGCUACGCGGUUUGUGGCUUACCGGCAUCUUCACAUGCUGUUUGUCAUCGCAGCGGCUGGCAGUGUCUGACUCAGCCUUCCACUUCCCAGCUUUAUUCUCCUCCUUGUCCUGCCUAUACUUCCUGCCUGGCCACUGGCCAAUCAGCAACACACUUGACAUACAGACCAUCCCACAGCACCCCAGCCUGGUGUUCCAGGUCCUGCCUGCCUCUGCUCUACAUCUCCCAAAGUCUGAAUGCACCCACUUCUCUCCAGCUGUCAAGGUCCUGCUCACACUUUUCAUUUCCGGUCACCCAGUUACUGCCCUCUGUGUGAAGUCUUCCUCGUGUCCCAUCUGACCCCCUCAUCUCAGUAAUGUUAGUAUUUUUGAGUGCUCAUUCACAUGACACAACGAUGGAAAAUAUCAGUUCCAACUUACUGAGUAUAAAAUGUUUCAGGUGCUGUACACUGGACAAACACCACCUAUCCUCUUUGUUGGGACCUGGAGGCAAGUGCAUGUCACCUUUUUCACAGAUAAGGCAACUGAAACUAGUAGUGAUUCUGAUGCACACCCUAACAGAAGCAGAAUUCAAGACUUUGCCAUUAUUACUGGCUACAGAAAUAGUUUCUUCCUUAGAAGUGCGUAUAGUCAGUUAAACAUUAGUGUACUACACCUGUAAUCUCAGCACUCCAAAGACUGAGGCAGGAGGAUCAUGAGUAUGAGGCUAGCCUGAACCACAUAGUGACACCCUGCCUUUAAAAACAACUGAAGUGUUUGCAAAUCCAAUGUCCUGCAAGGCUGGGCAGGUGGCUCUGUGGGUAAAGUGCUUAUUGCUCAAGCAUAAGGACCCGAGUUUGGGUCCCCACACCCAUGUCAAAGCCAGACCUGGUGGGUGACGCGUGUAAUCCUAGUGCUGGGACCUGUGGGGCAGGCAGAUCCUAGAGUCUUGCUGGCCAGCCAGUUUAGCUGAAAUGGCAAGCCCUGGGUUCACUGAGAGAAAAGUUCUCAAGCUGCUAAGUCUGGUGACCUCAGUUCAGUCCUGUCUGUCACAGGGUCGUUUUCUGACCUUCACCGUGGUAAAUGCCAGCACAACAAACACACAACAACAGUGAGAGUGAAAAACAAAAGAAAAAAAUUAGAGUGGAGAUCAACAGAGAAAGAUGCCAUGUGCACAUAAGUACACACACCAGCACAUGAAGGCAUAUAUGUCACAUACAGACACUUGUGUGCAUGCACACAUACAUGCACACACAAACAUGUUCAUACACCCUGUUCCAUAAAAUUCACCACUUAGAAGUAUGAAGUUCAAUGGUCUUUGUAUAUUCUCAUUUUCCAACCAUAAUUAGCAAUUCUGGAACAUUUCCUCACCACAUCCCGCUAACAUGCUCCCUUCUCUUAGCCUUUAGCAACUACUUUCUGUCCGUGGAUUUAUCUAUCUGUGUUUCACACAGGUGGAUCAUAUCUGAUGUGGCCUUUCGUGACUCUGGCUUCCCAGCAUAACGUCAUCAAGGUGGCAAGGACGCAGGAUUUCUUUCAAUCUGGAAUUUGAGAGAGGGGUUCUGAUAGGGUCAAUAGACUUCCCCACAGUAUGGAUGUAUAGUCAGGCUCUUGCUUCCUUCAACCUCAAGGUUUUUCACUGUGAACAACUUCCAGUCUGGAUUCUGCAAAGACAUCAAAUGUAGCAAGCACCCAUUGUGUCGUGGUUCCUCUGACCCAGGGCCAGUCUAAUAUGCCAGAAUUAUGGCACCACCACCAUCACCCCGCGAGCUCUUCUUCUGUAGAGCUUGUCCUCUCUUUGUGAACUUCUGACAAACCGUCACAGGAACCUUGGGAAAAGAAACUGCAGCUACGUUUGAUGGGAGCAGCCCCCAGCAUGAUUAGGGGUUUUCCUGGUGUGGCUGGCGGCCCAAGCCCCAGGACUGAGGAGCAGAGAACAGGUUGUGCUGAGCAACUUUCCAGAGAUGACUGACAAUCAGAACUGGCGACAGGCAGUGGCCAUCCAUCAUUGGAUGACCCCAGGCCAAGGCGGCAGCUGCCGGAAACAGACAUGAAGAUCCUCAGGAGCAAGAAACAGAAUCAAGACCCCAGGUGCAAACUGUCCUGUUGUGAGCUUCUGCCAGCCUAGACAUGGCUUCCCUACAGCCUUUGUGGUGAGAAAGGGGUUGGAAGCUCUUCAGGCUUGGCUUUCGCUCAGUCCUGUCCACCAGACUCGGCAGCUACCCUCUGAUUGGUCCCCAUUCUAUGCCUCAUUUGCAAAGACGCAGCCAACCAAUCAUGAUGCCCCUUGGUCUCUAUAACUCAGGUGCAUGGGAUGUCCGUUGUCAAACUUCUGGUGAGAGAGGAAAGGGGAAAACUUCUUUUGCCCUUCAGAUCCACUGGAGACGGUCCACUUCAAGAAUCCUGCUUUAGGGACUGACCUGCUGUUCCUUCUGUCCCAGACAUGUCACAGCUGGCACCAGCUUUCCACAGACUUGCUCUUCAGAGGACUGCUCUCCGUUGGCACCCCAAGGCUUGCUGGAGCCUAGAUCUGUAACUCUUGCUGGCAACCUCACGGUUGGUAUUGAGCUAUCAUCAUGAAGUUUGGACCUUGCAUUUUGCUGUUUGAGUUGUCAUUCCUGGGGGGUAGCCCUCGCCUAUUGCAAUGGUCGCUCCCGUGAAAAUAAAUCCCCCCGUGUUUGUUCA